RNAcentral lists this ribosomal RNA (388 nucleotides) under uncultured bacterium. Its description in RNAcentral is "bacterial SSU rRNA". It matches the Rfam family "Bacterial small subunit ribosomal RNA", at positions 28 to 416 of the family's 1533-position model. The record is from RNAcentral.
GACGAACGCUGGCGGCGUGCUUAACACAUGCAAGUCGAGCGGUAAGGCCCUUUCGGGGGUACGACGAGCGGCGAACGGGUGAGUAACACGUGGGUGACCUGCCCUCAGCUCUGGGAUAAGCCUGGGAAACCGGGUCUAAUACUGGAUAUGACUCCAUGACGCAUGUUGUGGGGUGGAAAGCCUUGUGCGGCUGAGGAUGGGCCCGCGGCCUAUCAGCUUGUUGGUGGGGUGACGGCCUACCAAGGCGACGACGGGUAGCCGGCCUGAGAGGGCGACCGGCCACACUGGGACUGAGACACGGCCCAGACUCCUACGGGAGGCAGCAGUGGGGAAUCUUGCGCAAUGGGCGAAAGCCUGACGCAGCGACGCCGCGUGAGGGAUGACGGCC